AGAACAGGACUCACCGAUGGCAAAAUCUUUGAGUGGCUCACUGCUAUUCUGCCGGAACUUGCGAUGCAUCCAACCUAGUAACUGCAUCAAAGAAGUGCAAUGGUGAACCCAUAUGAGUUUGAUGUCUGAUCACUUCAGUAGCGAGGAGAGGAUGAGAGAAGCAGCUUUUGAUAGUAAGCCGCAUGACUAUUUAUGAAUAGGAUAUUGAAUUGUUGCUGAAAGCUUCCAAGGGUCUGAGUUACAGGUGGGUAAAGAGAAACACACAGAAAGUUACAAGAUUUGGUGAUUUGGUUGGCUAUUCCUUUUCAAGAUCAAAUCAUGUGGCCAAAUGGUAUGUGGGUUCCAGUACCCACAAGCUGUUGAUUCUGUCUGAUCCAUGCACUUAAUGCAUGUGUGAGGUUGGUUGCAGGUUUAUGUUUCUUUCUUUCUUUCUUUCUUUUCUUCUUUUUUUCUUCACAUGAUUUGGCAUGAUCACUGCACAAUCUGCACCUAUCAAUGCUUGAAUACGAUGGCAAAUGUUGUAUUUUGCAGAUGUCCAGUAGAUUUCUUAGGAUGCAUGUAAACAUGUUCAGUUAUGAACCAUGUGUGACAGGUGCACCUUGAUGUGGGUCUGUAAUUGAUCUUGCCAAUUUGACAUGUUUAUGGACAUGCACUUUUUGCAUCAGCUGAUGGACCUUUUUCAUUCUAAUAAUUCUACCUACAUUACCAUUUAUUUGAUGGAAAUACCUCACCAUUGCAAGUGGGGCCAUAGAGAAUAUUUUGUUGGCUUCUAUGGGUUCAAAGACAAUUUGACAAUGAGGAAAAUCUUUUCUUAUUUGGGAUAAAAAAAGUUAGAACGCUUAAUGCUUUUUGGUAGGCCCACUCCUGGGUAAGUUAUUCCUAACUGAAAUGACCCUUAUCUGAUAUACUAUUAUACCAAUGAUUGUCUCAAACAAAUAUCUUUGUAUUUGAUGUUUAACUAUGACUCUGAACUUUGUGUUUGUUGCUGUUUGCAAUCAACUUUAAUCUGUAGAGGCAAUUAGAUGCACUGAACUUCCUGCUAUUGUAGAUGUCUAAUGUUCCCUGCAUUUGGAACAGGUCAAUCUGUGAAGGGAUCUGGUACACUACUACAGGUAUGACUCCAGCCUCAAAUUUUCCUUUUUUUUUUUAUAGGCUACUCGAGCCUUCAAUUUUUAUAUCAACAUUUGUAAUGUCUUUUGUUUCAUGGUGCUGGAGUUGCAGUAAAAUUAGUUGCAAAGUUGUGGUCCGUCCUUGAGAACCUAUUUUACUUGCUUGUGGUGAAUAAACAAUAUGAAUUGUUAGUUGUUAGUAUUGCAACAAUGUUAUCACAUAUAAAUCUUUUAACUUGAGCCCACACCCUUAUUUCCCAGAAUAUAUUGCUGUAGGACAAUAAAAUUGUCACAUGAGAAUGCUUAAUGCAUACUGUCAUCUGGCUUCAUUUGUAUGAAUUAUUGCAUUUCUCCAGUCUGAUAGCAAAAGUAGGGGCCUAAAAUAGCUUAAAGGAAGAGAAGCACUAGCCUUAGCCGGUCAUGUUCAUGUUCUCUGCUCCACCAUUUUCAUACAAUACAUAUUCUUUCACAGAGCCCAUCAGGCACUGGGCUGUUGGCCUUGAAAAUCUAUUAUACCCCACAAGCAUCGCUGUGAAUAAGAGCGAACAGAGAAAAGGGAAAGGGUUUCUGAGCUUAGAGACAAAGGGAACAGAGCCAUCCUUGCUGAUAACAAACAUCUUUGAUGUUUGUUUGAUAAUGUAUGGAAAGCAACACAAGUAACAUUGUUUUUUGGGAAGCUUUGAAUAUUGAAAAAAAAUGUAGCUUCUACAAAAAUGAUAGAUGUGAAUGCUUUAAAUUUCAUCAUGGACUUUAUAUCUCCAAAGCCAGUUUCUAGAGUGAUUAGGGUUCUAACUAAAGCUUUGGCUGUUUCUUAAGCAGUUUGAUUGAAUAUGAGAGAAAUUCAGUGGCCAAACGAUGAUGCCUAGGAUUGAGGAUGAAAUUGAUAAGAAAUGAGAAGCUUGACAAUAGCGACAACUACUAUUUGUUGUUCUUUGUAUGAUUAUGUCCAGUUCUAAAAUAGUUUUGUCAAGAACUGUCUCCGAUGAAUCAUUAAGGUGGGAAGAAGCUUCUUCACAUGAAGACAACUUACCAUGUUUUGAACAUUAUAUCCUUUAUUAUAUCAUUUCAAUGUUGUGAUUGUGUACAAACAUAACAAUCUUAUUGCAUUAUAGGUUCAAGGAGUUUUUGGUUCAACUAAGGUUUCCAUUCUAAGGUUUGAAAGCAAGACCAAGUAAUUGUACUGAUGAUCAGCAUGCAUGCUUGCUUCAUUUUAUUUUCAUCACUCUAAAAUUUUCCUUUCCUGGUCAAUUAGAUUUUGUGAAGUUGCUGGAGAAAGCUCUAAGCUUAUUGGGCUUUAUCUGACGAUAAUUUCGGAUCUUGUUUCCUCCUAAAAGAGCAUACCAUAUCCAGCUUUGAAUACCAGUCUUAAGUUUUGAUGAUAGGAACUACAUGGUCAUCAAAUGUCACUGAGCUGAUGGAGAUGGAUUAGCCUGAGUGGGAGACCAAACAGUGGAAAUUGAAAGGGACAGGCAUAGAGGCGGAAAGGGUAUGAUGAUGAGGGCAAAUCUCUGCGCCGAGGAAAAAAAAAAAUGAACACCUGUCUUCCUGUAUGGCAAUCAACAAUUCCUUAGGUUCUCCGUCAUGUGAUUAAAGCCAGAAAUGGGUUUGAUUCAAAUUUGGGAGGUUUAUGGAUAUGACAGUGGGCUAUUGCUUUGUACCCUAUCCUUGCCUUUGGAUCUUAAAAUGAAGUUCUACAUCCAUCAUGAAUAAUGGAAUACUCAUUUUGUGUGGAUGAAACAAAUAUGAUCUCUGGAAAUGCUGCCAUUCCCACUGAAACCAAACCAUCUGCUGCUUAUCAAAUACUAAAAGUGGAUCACAUUCUCAAUUGUAGUAGGGUCUGAGCACACGAUCGUGACAUCCUCCUUUUGAGAAGUGAACGAGAUAUAUAGGACCCAUUGGGAUGGUGCUGUUUGUCAGGGUGUCAUUGGUAUAUACUUUCAACUCGGCUUUUAAACAAAUGCUGCCUUGUCUUUCUCCUCCUGUUGAUUACAAGCCCUUCCACAACCCAACAGUCACUAAGCAGGCAAAGGGAUAAGGGUUUGCAUAUGGGUGAGUUGUGGCAAGCUGCCUCAAUUGGGGACGUUCUGAAGCCUCACAACCGAAUUGUCAUCAAUCAGGCCAAGGUAUGACAAUCGAUUAGUCAUAGUUUUAAGGUUCCUAAGACACAGAACGCUGUUGCAACAACAAUGAUAUAUAUAGAUAUCCAGCUUGCAUUCUCAUCUACAA
Molecule: long non-coding RNA, 3335 nt
Organism: Vitis vinifera (wine grape)
Lineage: Eukaryota; Viridiplantae; Streptophyta; Magnoliopsida; Vitales; Vitaceae
Exons: 4
Source: RefSeq, a predicted model, not a curated record